GGGGGCGAUCUGGAAUCGACCGGGUAAGUUGACGAUAGAGGUGGCAUGUCGUGGUUGAUCGAGAGGCCACGUGAAAACUCGAUUACAAAAGUAACAGCUGAGGAAAACCUCGCUCUAGCAGCCUAAUAUUGGCAGCUCAGGUACUCAAUGCCCGUCGGAGGCGUUGAAAUACCUGUCGCAAUUCCGAAUCGCACUAUCACGUGUCUCGCACUGGUGGUGUUAAAAAAGCUCGAGGCUGGCGCACUGCACCGAUGCCAACAACGAACGCAGUGGGCGAGACAAAUAACUGUCGGCUAAACAUGUAGAGGCCCUAUUUGAAGUAUCGCGGGACGCGGGUUCAAUUCCCGCCGCCUCCAUCU
Molecule: transfer-messenger RNA, 359 nt
Filed under: Planctomycetota bacterium
Lineage: Bacteria; Pseudomonadati; Planctomycetota
Rfam family: transfer-messenger RNA
About the family: Bacterial tmRNA, also known as 10Sa RNA or SsrA, is named for its dual tRNA and mRNA-like properties. Its role is to liberate the mRNA from a stalled ribosome.
Source: RNAcentral